Non-coding RNA from Zea mays, 98 nucleotides. NCBI's taxonomy places the organism in Eukaryota, Viridiplantae, Streptophyta, Magnoliopsida, Poales, Poaceae. The record is from Rfam.
UGUAUCAAAUGAUGAAACAUCAGAACAAUCUUAGGACACCUUCUGACACAAUGCUGGUAGCACUGUGAGUGAGAAGGCAAUUCUUUGCUGAUGGUACU